CGUGGUGGAAGGAGGACUGUCGAUGUGAGCUGUCCGCGAGCACCUCACUGGCAGCUGAUCGUUCUCUCUUCCUCACCUCCUCCUCCUCCUCUUCCUCCUUCACCUCCUUCCUCCCCCGUGAUGGCCAGCGCCUCUCGGUGGAUUUAAUGCGUUCAAGAGUCCUAUAUUGCGAUCCUACGACAGUGAACCAGAGGAACAGAGGACCAGCACCUGCACCCCACAUCCUCCCUGGACCAAGGAAGGAGCAUCAAUAACAAAGAGCAGCGCCAGACCACCCUUGCCGCCUCAGCCGCCUCCUCGGUCUCCUCCUCCUAGUCGUCUUCCUCCUCCUCCUCCUUAUCUUCCAUCCGCAUCGAGUGUCCCCUGAUCCUAAUCUACACCGUAGUUCAACUUGACGACGAAGAGUGGAUGGGAGAGAGAAAGAUAGAGUGAUAGAGAGGGAGAGUUGGGUGGAACAGAAAGAUAUAAACGCCACAUCCCUGCUUAAACCUCUGCUGAGCUGUCGGUGUGCCUGCUUACUCCUGAGGGAUUAAGAAGCAGCAGAAGAGAAAGAAAAGGAGAGAAAAAGAGUGAGAGAUACAUUCCCUAACUCCACCUACUCUCGCUUCUGCUACUGUGAUGGUUUCUGCUGACGCUUAGAGGGACGAAGAAGCAGAAGAAGCAGAAGGAAAACGAUAGAGACAGAGCAAGCACCUUACCAGCCGCUGUUCCUGCUCCCCCCUGAUGUUUCCUCCCCUGUGGCUGUUGCUGGCGCCUCAAAAGCAAGGAUCGUGUCAAAGAGAGUUUUAGCUUGGCGUCUUGUUACGUGAAGGAGUGAAAGAUGAAGUCUGAGUUAGUAAGGAAAAUGUGAGGUAUUACAUACAUAAUUGAAGAGAGGCUUGUAAACAUAACCUUUCUUAACUAGUCAGUUGAAAGGAACUAAAAGGUUGUUUCCGGGAGACCUAAAGGAAAUAUCUGACCUUUGCGUAUAUAAAUGAGUUUAGAUGUUGGUUAACCACAUGCGAAGGAAAGUACAGAAUGGCAGUUGGUGAAAAGUGAAGAAGGGCUUGUAAAUAUGACCUUUCCUAAACUAGCUAAUUGAAAGGGAGUAAAGGGUUGUUACCUAGAGAGUUGAAGGAAAUAUCUAACCCUCGCUAAUAUCAUAAAAAGUUUCGCCCUAAAGUUAUUAAGGGGUAAAGAAAUGCGUGUGAUAAAUGGUAGAAAUAAGUGAGGGAGAAGAAAAAAGUUAUCAUAAGUAAAAAGUUUUAACUACCCACUUCAAGUUAAGGAAGUUAGACGUUUAAUUAAUAUUGUAAAAACAGGAAAAAAAUGGAAAAAUAGUUUGUGGUGUAAUAAUAAAACGGAGAGGGAAGGAAAAUAGUGUGCGUGCUUGUACGAAGUGGAAACUGAUGCAGAAAUAGAAGAGUUUGCGCUCCGCCCCGAAUGUUAUUUUUUUAAAGGAAAGAAAAAUUGAAAAUAAAAGGGAAAUUGUGCCAGUGAAAAACGUCUGGAUACCAAGUGAAACGGAAUUAAAUAUAUAGAAAAAAAGAAGAAUACAUAUAAUAAGAAAAGAGAAAGAGAGCAAAGAAAAAAAACAGGAAGGAUAAUAAAGAAAGAAAAAGAAAACAUAGACAAAGAAACUGUAAAUAAAAACAAAAAGGAUCAGAAAAAUACAGAAACAGAGAAAAGGAAACAAGAAAUCAAAAGCAAGAAAAAGGAAGAAAAAGGAAGAAAACGAGACAGCAGGAUAACACAGAACCGGAAAAAAACACCUGCACAUCAAAACCUGACAAGGAAAAAUAAGAAAAACAAGAAAAAACAACAAAUAAAAAAGUACCGUGAAUAAAAAACAAACCGAGAGAAAGAACGAGACCGAGAGCGAGAGAGAAAGAGAGCAAGAGUGAGAGAGUGAAAGAAAGAAAAUAAAGAGAGAUAAAAAAAAAGUUCUCCCUCUCCUGAAUGCCUCUCAAGUAAGCGUCUUUGAUUUGACAAGAUUUGCUCACCGCCAAAGCCUUCCAGAAUACCAAGUGCUUAAUUAACUUUUUUUUUUACCUCCCUCCCUCCCUCCCUACCUCCGUCUCUCCUUUCCUCCCUCUCUCCCUCCUCUUGCUGCCUCCUCAAUCUCCCUCUCUGCCUCUUUCUCCCUUCCCUCUCUCCCCCUUUUUCUUUUUGUUUCCUUGUCGCUUAGUUUUUUUUUCUUUUUCCUUUUCAUCUCCGUCUCUCCCUCCCUCACUCUCUGCCUCCUCUCUCUCUCUCUCUUUACUCCUUUCUCUUUACUCUUUUCUCUACAUCGUCUCCUUUUCUUUCCUCUCUUUCUCUUUUCCUCUUCCUACCUCCCAGUCUCUUUCAUCCCUCUCUCCCUCCCUUCCUCUUCUAUUUUUUUUUUCAUCUCCUCUUUCUCCCUUCAUUCCCUCCCUCCGGCCUCCUUCCUCUCUCACCCUUUUCCCUUCCUUUCAUCUCCCUCCUCUCCUCUCCUUCACUCUCCCUCUCAAAUACCCAAGUCCUUCCCUUUUCUCUUUCCUCGCGUCCGCCUUCCUCCCUUUCCUGACCUCUCAUUCAGCCCUGAAAUGGAAUAGCGAAGGGCUGCUUGGGAAUACAGACCCCUCUCGUAAAACACCCUGACUCAGCAACCCAACUACUGACCCUCCCUGACUGCCACUCCCUCCCCCUCCUGACUCCCUCUCCCUCCCUAAUCCGCUCCUCCCCGCUCUUUCACUUCGCUGUAUGAUUUCACUUUUUGUUCUUUGUACCUACGGGCUAAACGGAACCUCAAGAACCGACUGAACCAAAGCAGGGAAAGUGGAAAUAAAGGAAGAAUUAGAUGCUUUAGUGUGUCUUGUAUAGAAAAAUCGUGGAAAAUUAGCAUUACGAAAAUAUUUGUUUGUCAACUUAAAGGAAAAUAAAGUACAGAAACGACGCCAGAGAAGAACUUAGGCGGCUGUAUCCUGUGAAAAGAUUAACAGGUGACAGAGAAAGAUACGGUGAUGGUUGAGUUAGUGGCUGUCAAAAGUGAAGCGUGGAAGGCGUGAUACAGAAAGAUUUUUGUGUGUUUAACUUGACGAAAGGAAAUCAAAGAGAAUUCAGUGUCUCUCAACCGAUCAGAAAAAGAGAGAGAGAGAGAAGAAUCAGAAAAAGAGAGAGAAAGAAAAACAAACACACACACGCUCACACACACACGUAAACACCCACCCACCCACCCACCCACACACACACACACACACACACACAUCACGAACACACGUAAAGAAAAUGAGAGAAGGACAAACAAGUGAAGUGUCGGAAUGUAACCUGUUUUACCUCACUCUCCACCACCUCCACCACCUCCACCACCACCAGCACCUCCAGCAUCUGUGAAGACUUAAGAAGACUGUGAACCACGCUCUCUCUGUCUCUAAGCCUCCACGCCACGCCCACCUGAGA
Eriocheir sinensis (Chinese mitten crab) is the source of this 3399-nucleotide long non-coding RNA. RefSeq lists it as uncharacterized. Lineage: Eukaryota; Metazoa; Arthropoda; Malacostraca; Decapoda; Varunidae. The transcript is spliced from 3 exons. The record is from RefSeq and is a predicted model, not a curated record.